RNAcentral lists this unclassified non-coding RNA (328 nucleotides) under soil metagenome. RNAcentral describes it as "partial contains 5.8S ribosomal RNA, internal transcribed spacer 2, and large subunit ribosomal RNA". The stretch from base 1 to 120 matches the Rfam family "5.8S ribosomal RNA", at positions 35 to 154 of the family's 154-position model. The record is from RNAcentral.
GAUGAAGAACGCAGCGAAAUGCGAUAAGUAAUGUGAAUUGCAGAAUUCAGUGAAUCAUCGAAUCUUUGAACGCACAUUGCGCCCCUUGGUAUUCCGAGGGGCAUGCCUGUUCGAGCGUCAUUAUAACCCCUCAAGCUCAGCUUGGUGUUGGGGCCUGCUGCACUGGCAGCCCUUAAAAUCAGUGGCGGCGCCAUCUGGCUCUAAGCGUAGUAAUUCUUCUCGCUAUGGAGUCCCGGUGGAUGCUUGCCAUUAACCCCCAAUUUUCUAUGGUUGACCUCGGAUCAGGUAGGGAUACCCGCUGAACUUAAGCAUAUCAAUAAGCGGAGGA